This 314-nucleotide unclassified non-coding RNA is filed under the name Hevea brasiliensis (rubber tree). Lineage: Eukaryota; Viridiplantae; Streptophyta; Magnoliopsida; Malpighiales; Euphorbiaceae. The record is from RNAcentral.
GAAUAUUACCAGAGCUUUAGAUGUUCUACCAAAGGUGAUGUAUACAGUUAUGGUGUAGUUUUGCUGGAGUUGCUAACAGGAAAGAGGCCAACAGAUUCAGCUGAUUUUGGUGACAACAAUCUUGUUGGGUGGGUAAAGCAGCAAGCAAAAUUGAAAAUAACAGAUGUUUUUGACCCAGUACUUAUGAAAGAAGAUCCAAGUCUAAAGAUUGAGCUUUUACGACACUUAGAAUUGGCUUGUGCUUGUUUGGAUGAUCGGCCACGGAGACGACCUACUAUGAUUCAAGUCAUGGCAAUGUUUAAAGAAAUUCAAGC